Molecule: ribosomal RNA, 446 nt
Filed under: uncultured bacterium
Lineage: Bacteria
Description: partial 16S ribosomal RNA
Rfam family: Bacterial small subunit ribosomal RNA
Source: RNAcentral
CCUACGGGAGGCUGCAGUCGAGAAUCAUUCACAAUGGGGGAAACCCUGAUGGUGCGACGCCGCGUGGGGGAAUGAAGGUCUUCGGAUUGUAAACCCCUGUCAUGUGGGAGCAAAUUAAAAAGAUAGUACCACAAGAGGAAGAGACGGCUAACUCUGUGCCAGCAGCCGCGGUAAUACAGAGGUCUCAAGCGUUGUUCGGAAUCACUGGGCGUAAAGCGUGCGUAGGCUGUUUCGUAAGUCGUGUGUGAAAGGCGCGGGCUCAACCCGCGGACGGCACAUGAUACUGCGAGACUAGAGUAAGGGAGGGGGAACCGGAAUUCUCGGUGUAGCAGUGAAAUGCGUAGAUAUCGAGAGGAACACUCGUGGCGAAGGCGGGUUCCUGGACAGUAACUGACGCUGAGGCACGAAGGCCAGGGGAGCGAAAGGGAUUAGAUACCCGAGUAGUC